GUAGAACUGGUCUAACAAUUAUCCACGAAUUGGAUCAAUACUGAUGAUAAUCUCAGGUUCAUGAUAUCAUCGCCUUAAUACGUUGAGCCCUGACCGAGCUAGGAGUCCGACAAUGAACAUUCCAUCUGGUCUCCAUCGGCCGAUAGGGACCGAUAGUGAUUUUUUCUGAAAAUCAUUUUGUAACUUUGUUACUGUAGUUCCCAGUGGCGACUCAAAGUCCAUUGUUGAUCCGACGAGACCGACGCGAACUAGGCGGAAAAUUCAGUCCCCAGAGACCGACGUGGGGCCCAACGUGUUAACCGUAGUUUAUCUCAAGUAAAUAUUGAUAUUUCCAUCUAGCAGGGAUACAUAAACUUUAGUUCCACGAAUAGACUGCUAGUUAUCGGUGCUUACCACACCGGUGAAAUACCCUUUCGCGUUGUUUUGAGUUUUUAUCAUGCACCAAAAUAGUCGUAGUAAUAGUAAUUUUGAGAUUAUACAUAACAGUGCACGUUUCGUCAGUAUCCAUUCAGUAUUCUCCUCUUUUUGGUACAAAAAAAACUACUAUCACUACUCAGAGAAAUUUGUUCAACGAUGAAAGAUAUGUGCUGCGAUGUAUUCAACGAAGAGAAAGUAUGUCACACAAACACACACUCACGAGUACCCGAAGUGCGAAAGAUUCAUAUUCAUGUGAAAACAUAUGUUGCAAUGCUGUAAGGAGUGAUUGCAUGCGAAUGUGUUAGCAAUUUCGUGAAUUUGGAAUACGUAUGAAAUAACUCAAUCGCCAGAGUCACCAAUCGACGCGCAAGAUUACAAUUUGAUCUGAUAUUUUGGUUGGCCAGAGAGCAGGAUAAUUUUAGCACUCAAAAACUGACCAUAGCAAGGUGCAGAAGGAGGAUCGUAUGAAGAAAUAAAUGAGAGCUGCUGACGAAACACGAACAACUCGAACUUUGUUACGCGCGAAGUAUAUUUACCCACAACAGGUGCCAUGUAUAACCGCAUCCAGACUCAUAACAACUUUUGUACCGGUGCUUGUGAGACACUAGGCGAACAGGCGGUUUUGUUCGAAAGUUCCAGGCUGCAGUUACUUACCUUUCGCAGGGUCAGAUUCAAUCUUAUCCAUUAUGUAUGAAAUGUUCAACAGUGGAACAUAUUUUGAUAAAUGCUGCAAUUUAACGAAAAGCACAGUUUCGAAACCGGUAUUUUUUUCUAGAUUUCUCGUGAAUUAUACUAUCACACUUAUUUAUAGCAAAUAUUCGUUGUCGCGUUCCUUUCGUUUGUCGCACUGAGUAAAAAUUCUCUUUCUUCAGAAUUUUUCUCGUGAACAGGCGAAUUUAUCUAUUUUUUGCUCACAGAAUUUGCGUACACACUUGUCAGUUUCUGAAAGAUAUUUAACUACAUUACAGAAGAUUAAAAAUUAUCUAUAAACUGUUCACGAAAACACUACAGAAGCUUUGUCACGUACAGCAUCCAGUUGUCUCGAUCAGACGUGAUAAAUUGCUCGAUGCUGCUCGAUUAUGCUAACGACUUGUUCAUUUGAAGAUCGUGCGUUCGUGAAAACUAUAAUUGAACGGUGAACCGACAGAGCAGGAAACACAAAGCACUGGACACGCGGCAAAGGCAGAGACGGAAGAAAGUAAAACAAGGAUAAAAGGAAUAGUCGCGGAUAAAAAGUUUGAACACAAAAAAAACAGACGUUUUGUGUGCAAAUCUCAACUCUCGAGGAAACAGAGUAAAAUGGUCCGCAUUGGUUUCAGCACGAACGACACUGGGAUCGUACUGCUUUAUUUUUCGUAACAAACUUGCCUGUGUUUGUGGGCCGGAACUACCAGACACUGCUUCACGCUAAUUUGGCGACGAGAAAAUUCAACAGUUAAUAUUAUGUGAUUCUCCCCGUGCUCAAGCAGCGCGCGCAUCAUUUUUUCUUUCGAUUUGUUUUCAAGUGUUUUAAGAACCGAUCUCGCUUCAAUUGAUUACAAACUAUUUAGUGUGCAGCAUAACAUGAUUCUUCAUUGACAAUUGCACGCGUUGAUGGGAUAUAAACCAAAUAAUCUGCCAAGUUUGUAGCAACGAUACUAAUCUAAUUCUAAUACUACUAAAUGCAUUCUAAUUCAUCGUUGGCACAGUAAAUACUAAUAAAUUGGUUAUUAAUCAUGGUCGUGUUAUUUUUAAUCUCAGUUCUAUAUUCCAUAAUACAUAUCUGAACUAGUUAGCGCCACUCAAAUGUUCACUGUAAACGUUUUCUCGCGACGAGUUUAGCUACAUAUAAAUGAUAUGCAUCAAUAUUUUAUCCCCGCAUCACUUAUGGUAUUACCGAAUUUAAAAAUCUUUGAGUUUAUUUUCUAUCUGUGAGUUAGUUUUUGCAUUGGACUUUUCCAUAGUGACUCGUAUUGUUAGUUUCAAUGUAUUGUAUUGUUUCAAUAUAAUAUACUUGUCAUGGUCAUGGGUGUCAUCCCUCUGAGGGAUUUUUACCAAAACUUGACGAAUUGUCACUCGAGUAACAUUUAAAUUGAAAAAUAGUUUUAUUUGCAUAAGCGAUUUUGAGGUAUUCGAAGCUGUUGUGGCUAUUUCUCGCUUAUCCUGAUCAGAGAGCUUCGAUUUAAGUGGAGCUCUCUCCUUCUCACCGUAUUCUCGAGAAUUCGCCAAAUAAUUAAGUACUACUUGAUGGGAUCGUCCAAUCCGACAAGCAAUUUCUCUGAUUCCAACAUUUUCUUGGUAAAAUGCAUCGAUUUGUAUUUCUUCUCUCUCCGUGGGCUCUUUUCCCUCCGGCAUUUUCCAGAUUUAUUGAUCUAAACCGAUCUUAUAGAAAUUUGACACUUGAAAAAUACAAAAAUAUUCAUUUACGCUCAGCGCUCACACACACACAUAUGAAAGCAGUGUAUGGUAGUCACCAAUACCUACACACUAGAAUAUAAAUUGAAGCAUUGUUUGCUUACUAUUACACAAAGCAUCAGGAUCAUCACCUUAUAGAAGUUGGACAUAGUGUAUUGCAUCAUACAUAAGGAGAAUAUCUGUGCCAAAAUGUACGGGUCAAGGUUGUCAUAUAGGACGUCGUCAAAAUCGCAAACUACAUCAAAUCACAUGCAUUGAAUCAUCGUGAGUUCCAAGCUCUUCUUGAAGAUGUGGACGCACAGUAUGGCAACAUUCCAUCCUUCAAUUAAAACUGGGCGAUAGUAUAAGGCCGAUUACACAUUAUCCGGUUUCUGCCGGACCGGUUUGAAACCCAAAUGGCAAAUUUCGAUCGGACCAACCUUUUUACGACGCCGUGAUGCAGCCGUCUACAGCGACUGCAAUGUCCGGUGACCGGACAAGCAUUAUACGCGAUGACCGUAGAAUAGUGUCGACGUCUGGUGGAGACAUCGGUUUGGGAAAGCAAAUCAUUCUCUAUAAGAUUAUCACACCUCAAGACAGUUUUAAGUUGUUUAAAUUUUUAAUGAAAACUUUUACUUCAUAUUAUUUGAUUGCUCAGAACCUGUGGUAUUGAUUCUUCCUUAACCAUUUUUGUAUAGUUUCCUUGAUAUUUUAACUAAAACUCAUCAUUGUAAUAUACAAUCAUUAUCAGACACAAUUAUUGUUCAGGAGGUUUCCCAACUUGCAAAAAAAACGUAUUACUUCAUUACAUAAAGAACACAUUUCAUGAGAAGAAGUUAAUUUUCAUUCAUAGUUUUUAUUUUAAGAUAUGUGUUUAAUGCACCUGAAAAUCCAUUAUUUCCAUCCAAUCCAUCGCGAUAUUUCUAUCACUAUCAUUUCCCAAAAGCGGAGCACGAAGCUCCAUGCCAUGAAAGCGAAUUGACAGUUGUUUGUCAUGUCUGUUAGUAUUAGUACAAUUCAGGCAAUUUUUCGUCUAAUGUAAUAGUAUGUGUGCACUAUUGACGUUUGUUUGUUGAUUUUGAAACCAGUUGAUAAUUUGCAAGCGAUAUGGAUGCUGAAAUUUUUAUUUCACUUCUUCAACAACUACCAGUGUUGUGGAACUAAUUCUGUGAUGCAAGUUUCUGCUCAAAGUGAAGCAAUGGUCACAGGUGCACGAUGUCAUCAUUUAGCAUAUUGCCAUGGACUGUGUUAUUAACGGUGAGUGGUGUCUUUUGACAAGCAGAUCGAGUAUUUUAAUUGACUUCUAUUUUUUGUUCACAGGCACCAUCCCUUAUCUGAAAUAAUUAUUGAACGAGUUCGGGGAUGUCAAACAAAUCUUCAAUUGGUUCAUGGAGGGGCGGAUUUCGAGCGGCUUUAUCGAGCUGAAUGAGAAGUUUGACCUGACCGGCGACGCGAUCGACGACGAGACCAAGGCACUCCAGCCAAAACUGUCAGAUAUGUGCUCUGUGGUCUAAAUGUUCCAAUGCCCGACGCCAAAGCAUCGGUUCUGUCAGAACGAAAUUCCAGCUUAUCUGAUUCGGUCAUUCUUUGCCCCGGAUCCGCGUAUUGAUAGCUGUGAUGCGAAUUGGGCUCGAGAAGCUGCCCAUGCCCCAGGAUUACGUGCUCGAGGAAUUGCGGCAUAUGUUGAGCUCGUUCUUCGACGAGGAUCAGCGGAAGCAGCAAUGGAAUAGUGUUUGAACGAAUUAUGUUAUUUUAUUCGUAAUUUGUUUACUGUAUUAAUGAAAUAAAAAAAACUCCAGAAUGAAUGGAUGUGUAUACAUUCUCUUGUAGGUAAAUUCCAAAAUAAUCACAGGAAGUGAACACAUUAUACAUAUAAAUAAAUAGUGCCUCUGGCUUGUAACGGAAUGUUAUUAUUAUUGGUUCAUCAAAUUGCACUUUUAUCUAACCGUGUUUCUGAGACUGUUGAAAAAUUAUGUGGCAACAGAGCGUGUGAAAUAAAUCAUACUAUUCGUGUAUGCUUGGAAACGAAAUAAUUAUGCGUAUGAAUGAAUAAACCGCAGCUGGACUAAAGUUAGUUUUUUAAACGUAUUCUGUGGUGGGGCGGAAGUAUUCACGAUAGGUACGGUAAGAACGCCGUUAUGAUGCAGGAUGUGUGUAAUGUCCGUGAGGCCUGGUCUCACUUUGAUCAUGCUCAUGGUGUGCUACACUCCAACAUUCGGCCUUAUGUGAUUUCCAAGGAACAUACAUAUGAGAACGCUCGUGGUUGCCGCAGCAGCUGUGGGUUUAAGGUUUUCCGUCUGCACUCAGCUGCAUGUAACCGGAAUAUUUGAAGCAAUGUUUACCUGUCAAAUCCACAUAUAAAUAAAUGCAUAUAUGUGUUUGUGAGAGAUGUACGGUUUUGUGUAGCGCGAGGUCUCUUUCACAUUGUUGUCCGGUUUUCCGUCCAAACCCAGCGGCGCUUUUUGAAACCGGAUAAUGUGUAAUCGCCCUAACAGUAUAGUAUAGCAGAUCUAACUUUCCUAACGAACAUCACGGCAAGGUAAAUCGGUUCACAACUCAACCAGAUAAAACAUUGUAAGGGGUUUUAUCUAGGAUACGACUUACAUAUAAGAUAUAGAACAAAUUUAUUGUUUAUUAUUUUUUUAAAUUUAUUUUAAUUUAUUUUUAUUUGGAGGGAAAGCUCACAAAAGUGGGCGAAAAACCUCAUCUUUUAAGUAUCAAACAGAUUACAUUAAAUCCUACAGAUACAUAUAUGAGGGGCUUAGAAUGCAAGGGGUGUAAGUGACUUGAUCGAUUUCUCUUCAUCAACUUUUUAUUUAGUUAAUAACUCGACUGCAAAAACGUUCCAAAUUAAGUUUGCUAUAGAAUCCGAUAGAUGAGGUUCUGACCUAUCUUCCACAUUGUCAAAUACAGCUGGGAAUGUAUUUGCAGCGAAGUUAUGACCAAAAGAGAGAGUCGAUGUAGAGAAAUCGAUCAAAUCACUUACACCCCUUUCAUUCUAAGCCCCUCAUAUAUCUAAACUAAUCUAGACUUACACAUGUACACAUUCAAACUAGUCUAAAACAUAAAAGAAACAAUCAAAUAACUAAAAGAUUAUCAUAAAACAAAUUCUUAAUUCUAACACGGGACACAUUGAAACCAAAACAACGAUUAAAUCUAUUGAACGUUCUGCACAUGCUAGUUAUCGGCUCAUUUGUGCCGUAGUUCGUGAGAGAGGCCGGGACGGUAAAAAAAUAGUGAGAACGUACGUUCACGCGUCUGAUGUUGAUGUCCACCUGUUGCAACAGUGCACCACAAUCGAUGUCAGAUCGCAACAGAUCAACGAUAAAUAUCGAUUUGGAAACGUCGUGGCGAACACUUAAUAAUUGUAGGCUCAUCAAGAUACAUCUACAUUUGUAUUCUGGCAGAUUGAACGAUCCCUCCAUGGUACCCAACGAAGAGCAAAGCGUACGAAUCUCCGUUGGAUGGAUUCGAUGCGAUUCACACCGAUGCUGUAGAAAGGUGCCCAUACUACAGAGCAGUAUUCCAAAGUUGAUCGAACCAAAGACGAGUCGAGUGCCUUCAAACAAGAAACAUCUCUGAAUUCUCUGGCGAACCGAAAUAUCAAGCCGAGUUGUUUUGACGCCUUAGCGAAAGCGUAAGUAACCUGAUCCUUGAAGGUCAGUUUAAAGUCAAGUAUGGCCACCAAGUCUUUGAAAUUCGGUUCGCGGUUGAGGAUAUAAUCCUGCAAGCAAUAUGUAAAACAGAUUGAUGAUUUAAUCCUACAAAACGUGAUAACAGCACAUUUUGAGGCGUUUAGCAUCAUUCUGUUCUUAUGACACCAAUCAGCAAAAACGUCAAACUGCUGCUGAAGAAAUAAUGCGUCGCCGUGGUCUUUUAUAACAAAAUAAAGUUUAAAAUCGUCGGCGUAUGAUAGCUUCAUGCACCUAAUAGAAAAAUGAACGUCGUUCAAAUAUAGUAAAAAGAUGAAAGGCCCAAGGUGACUUCCUCGAGGAACGCCAGAAGAUACAGAAAACGAUUCAGAAAUAUGAUCACCAAUUUUUACAGCCAUAUAUCGACCGGUAAGGUAUGAACGUAGCCAAUUCAAAAAAGAACCGUGAUGAUUUAUAUUAUCAAACGCAGCUGAGAGAUCGGUGUAAAUAACGUCGACUUGAUGUCCUUUCUCCAACUCGCGUAUAAUUGAAGAGGUGUAUUGUACGAGAUUUGUAGCAGCAGAUCUCUUCGGCAUAAACCCAUGUUGUUCGGAGGCAAUGUAGAUGGAACAAUUGUACUUUAGAUAAUCCAGCACCAACAGUUCAAAUAGUUGGGAGACUACACAUAAAGUAGCGAUGCCGCGAUAGGUCGAAACAGACUGUUUAUCGCCCUUCUUGAAGAUUGGAAAAACGAACGAGAAGUUCCAGAUCUCGGGAAAAAUUCCAUUUGAGACGUAGGCUAGCUUCUCGUACGUCUUCACCUGAAAUUGACAGAUGCGGCCUUAUAGCGCGAUGCAUAGGUAUCUGACGCGCGAAGGCUGAGAUAUGGUUUCUAGACAGUAGCUUGAGCAUUACAAUCGGGUUCAUCAUGAUAUGAAGCUGGAAAGGUGGGAGAACUUUGUACGACGUUGCAGUGAUCAUUUCCUGCAACGGCAGGACGUAUACUAUUCCAGCAAUUACCUGAGAAACCCAGCUCAGUAACUUGAGCAUUGCAAUCGAGUUCAUUUUGAUGAGUAGCUAUGUUGAAGUUAGGCGAGUUGUCACCGGCCCGUUUUUUUUUAUUUGUCUCGAACAUGCGAACGGUGUUCCCAUCAUGCCAAUACCAUGCAUCACCGACCACUUUGGGUACGGAUUUAGAUGCGGUAACUUUGAAGGAGACGAAAGAGAAAUCUUUCAGACUCUUCCCACGUGGUACUAGUUUUGUUAUUUUCAGUAGAGAUGAAUGAAUAUUAACGAUGUCAUGAACGUGUCACUUCAAAUCGUUUUCAUUUUGUUCCGGGAAAAGUGCGAUCACGUAGAUAGACACCAUGUAGUUGUCAGUCUGAUCCUUUCUGGCAACCUUCAAAGAAGCUAUGUUCGGCCUUGUACUGCAACCAGCUUCAAAACCAGUAUUAUCAACGAGAGGCUCGAUGCGGGGCCGAUUUGCUUCAUCAUGAAAGGCAAUAUUGUCAACGGUACGAUUCAAGCGAUGAGUUGGAAUGGAUUGGUUCGAAACGUGAUACGUGAUGGAUCUCUCAUGCAACGGAACAGUUGAUGUUUGACAUGGCAAUAUCCGCACCCGCUUGUUGAGACCGAUCGAAAACAUUUCCGUUGGAUGAGCUAUUGUGCAAUUUAUUUCAUCAAUAACUUCAAAAAACGACGUUUCACAGCAGGAUCUCGAACGAUUAAUGCGAUCCUCUAAAGUGUCGUCGAGGGUGAGACGAUUCAGGACAUGUAAGAAGGUUGAUUGAUGUGUUGGUUGGUUUCUCUUUUGUUUGCCGUAAAUGGUCGUGUUAAUUUGGCGGAUAUUAUCCCCAUACAUUGCCGAGUAUCCAUUGAAUCCGUCCGUAUUAAAGGGUGUGUCACAUCAAAUUGCAUCACGGAAAAACGCUGUAGAAAUUUAAUUUUUAGGAAUUAUAUCUUCAGCUUUCGCUUAUAAUCAGAUAAGACUGUAUAGAAUUCGUUGGCCAUGCUUCACUGUCAAUUUUUCGUAAAUUUGGAAAAAUGUCGUCGAACGAAAAAGAGCGUCGUGAAUUAAUCCUGUGCACUCAUUUCGAGAAUCCGGAGUUGUCACAUCGGGACAUCGGUAAGAUGCUGGGAAUCGUCCAAUCCACGGUCAGCAGAGUACUAAAACGAUACUUCGAGAACCUAACCAUCGACCGAAAUGUGAAGAACGGCAAAAAUGGAUGCUCCGUCAGUGAAAAAGAUCACAAGCGCGUAGUUAAGCAGUUUAGACGUGAUCCGAGAAGUUCGGUCCGGGAUGUCGCCAAUAAGCUGAAUUUGUCAAGUUCAUUCGUCCAGCGGACCAAGCAGCGAGAGGGCCUG
Toxorhynchites rutilus septentrionalis is the source of this 8786-nucleotide long non-coding RNA. RefSeq lists it as uncharacterized. The record is from RefSeq and is a predicted model, not a curated record. NCBI's taxonomy places the organism in Eukaryota, Metazoa, Arthropoda, Insecta, Diptera, Culicidae. The transcript has 3 exons.